AGUGAACGCUGGCGGCAGGCCUAACACAUGCAAGUCGAACGGCAGCACAGUAAGAGCUUGCUCUUACGGGUGUCGAGUGUCGGAAGGGUGCGGAAUACUUCGGAAUCUACUUUUUCGUGGGUGCUAAUGCAGGGAAACUUACGCUAAUACCGCAUACGACCUACGGGUGAAAGCAGGGGAUCUUCGGACCUUGUGCGAUUGAAUAAGCCGAUGUAGGAUUAGCUAGGUGGCGGGGUAAAGGCCCACCAAGGCGACAAUCCGAAGGUGGUCUGAGGGGGUGAACACACACACUGGAACUGAGAAACGGUCCCCACUCUUAGAGGGGGCAGCGGUGGGGAAUAUUACACAAUGGGCGCGAGCCUGAUCCAGCCCUAUCGGGUGAGUGAAGAAGGCCUACGGGUUGUAAAGCGCUUUUGUUGUGAGGGAUAAGCAGCUGUUUAAUACGCCACUGUUCUGACGGUACCCGAAGAAUAAGCUCCGGCUAACUUCGUG
This 492-nucleotide ribosomal RNA is filed under the name uncultured bacterium. Its description in RNAcentral is "partial 16S ribosomal RNA". It matches the Rfam family "Bacterial small subunit ribosomal RNA", at positions 29 to 507 of the family's 1533-position model. The record is from RNAcentral.